AAAACAUUUCUUAUAGAUAUUAUUAUAAGUCCCACCUGCUCAAUGAAUUUUAAAUAGCCGCGGAAUUUUAACCGUGCUAAGGUAGCAUAAUCACUUGCCUCUUAAUUAGAGGCUUGCAUGAAAGGUGAAACCUUUCAUAUACUUUAUUGAACAAUUUUUUUCAAAGUUAAAAUAAGAAUAAAAAUGUUCUUAUGAUGAAAAUAGACGAUAAGACCCUUUUGAACUUUACUCUAGUUUAGCUGGGGCAGCUUAAAAAUAAUAAUCUUUUUAUACCCCUUUUAAAUAAACGACCCAAUAAAAUUGAUUACUUGACCAAUGUUACCAUAGGGAUAACAGCGUAAUAUAUUUUUAAAGCUCUUAUUUAAAAAUAAGCUUGCGACCUCGAUGUUGAAUUAGUGUAACUUAUACGGUGCAGUAACUGUUAAAGUAGGUCUGUUCGACCUUUAAAACAUUACAUGAUCUGAG
This 465-nucleotide ribosomal RNA is filed under the name Wagneriana vegas. RNAcentral describes it as "partial large subunit ribosomal RNA". It matches the Rfam family "Bacterial large subunit ribosomal RNA", at positions 1810 to 2609 of the family's 2925-position model. The record is from RNAcentral. Lineage: Eukaryota; Metazoa; Arthropoda; Arachnida; Araneae; Araneidae.